Molecule: ribosomal RNA, 253 nt
Filed under: uncultured bacterium
Lineage: Bacteria
Description: partial 16S ribosomal RNA
Rfam family: Bacterial small subunit ribosomal RNA
Source: RNAcentral
UACGUAGGGUGCAAGCGUUAAUCGGAAUUACUGGGCGUAAAGCGUGCGCAGGCGGUGAUGUAAGUCAGGUGUGAAAUCCCCGGGCUCAACCUGGGAACUGCAUUUGUGACUGCAUCGCUGGAGUGCGGCAGAGGGGGAUGGAAUUCCGCGUGUAGCAGUGAAAUGCGUAGAUAUGCGGAGGAACACCGAUGGCGAAGGCAAUCCCCUGGGCCUGCACUGACGCUCAUGCACGAAAGCGUGGGGAGCAAACAGG